CGAGAGGAGCCGUCAUCUCUCCGGUGCCCGGGAGAGGGGCCGGCGGGACGGUACAGCACCCGGAGAAACGUUGAUGCCGUGUCCCUCAAGCCCAGCACCGGUUUUGCCGCCUUGACUCGAAGGGUCAACCAGGCCAUCUCCUGCCUCGGGACGGAGAGCGCCCUGGAAAAGGCAGACGGGCCCGACCUUAGUCACACAACAGCAAUGGCAAGAUUUUCACCCAAGCAAUCUGACUUGGAACCCAUGGAUUAACCAACUGCCACUGGAGGCAAAUCCAGAGACCAAGGGAGCAGUUUAUACAGAAACAGAAAAAUUAGCUGGGCAUGGUGGUGGGCGCCUGUAGUCCCAGCUACUCGGAAGGCUGAGGCAAAAGAAUGGUGUGAACCCAGGAGGCGGAGGUUGCAGUCAGCCGAGAUCGCACCACCGUACUCCAGUCUGGGCAACAGAGCGAGACGCCAUCUCAAAAAAAAAAAAAAGACAACCAUGUGAAGGCAGGGAGACACAGAGACAGCACCAUGUGAAGACAGAAAAUUGGAUUAAUGUAUCUAUAAGCCAAAGAAUGCCAGAUCGCCAGCAAACCACCAGAAGUAAGGAAGAGGCGAAGAAGGAUUCCCCUGCAGGUUUCAGAGAGGGAGCAUGGCCCCGCUGACACCUUGAUUUGGACUUCUUCCCACUAGAACUGUGAUACAAUAAAUUUCUGCUGUCUUAA
Molecule: long non-coding RNA, 709 nt
Filed under: Pongo abelii (Sumatran orangutan)
Lineage: Eukaryota; Metazoa; Chordata; Mammalia; Primates; Hominidae
Description: lincRNA
Source: RNAcentral